UGUGCAUUAUUGAUCAGCCAAUCUUGAGAGAGAGAUGGGUUGGCGUGAAUGGGAAGAAAACUACAUUGAAUGGACAAGAAGUAUGCCCUCAACUUUUUCAUGGUAUGUCUUACUUAUUGUUCUUGUGAUUUUUCCAUCAGUUUCACUUUACAUUUCUUCUUUGCUUUUUCAUGGCAUCGGGAUGCCCACUGGCGACGGUGCUGCGUUGCUACCAAAGGGGCACCCUGCCGCGGCCGGGGACUCGCUGCCGUCGAAGCACGACACCUUGCCGUCACGUAUGUUGGGUGUUGUGGUGCUGCAGGUCCUUGGGGUUGGGUGCGGCAACUCGAGACUCGAAGACGAUCUUCUGUGGUAGGGCGUCGCCGCCGGCGGCGGCACCUGUAUAGACCGUCUCGGUGUGACAGAAGAGUUCGGAGUUCACUCCGAGAAAGAAUUGCUUUGCAUGUACAUUUGCUGAAAGACUGAUGUGCUGAACUUUCGAUGAUUUCGAUUGGUAUUCAACUUGAGGAAUUUCAUACUUUUGGAGUGGAGCUAUCAAAUAUAUGUGUGCUCGAUGUUGGUGUUUUAAUCCGGAUCUCUCGCUGAAGGUGCUCGAUGUUGGUGUUUGAAUACUGCUACCGUACUUCAAGUCUAUGAAGAAUUGCAAGGAGGAGGAUAAUAGAGCAGCAACCAGAGCUGACAAUUGGCCUGUAAAUGCAGCAAAGUUCUCCUAGAGGUAGCGGGGCGCUUGAGGUGAGGUGGCUGCAGGGUCGCUCGAGAAGAAC
Long non-coding RNA from Triticum aestivum (bread wheat), 764 nucleotides. RefSeq lists it as uncharacterized. The transcript has 4 exons. The record is from RefSeq and is a predicted model, not a curated record. NCBI's taxonomy places the organism in Eukaryota, Viridiplantae, Streptophyta, Magnoliopsida, Poales, Poaceae.